GAUGAACGCUAGCGGCAGGCCUAAUACAUGCAAGUCGGACGGGAUUGAGAUUAAAGCUUGCUUUGAUUUCAUGAGAGUGGCGCACGGGUGCGUAACGCGUGAGCAACCUACCCAUAUCAGGGGGAUAGCCUCUCGAAAGAGAGAUUAACACCGCAUAACAUCAUUUACCGGCAUCGGAUUAUGAUCAAAUAUUUAUAGGAUAUGGAUGGGCUCGCGUGACAUUAGCUAGUUGGAGGGGUA
RNAcentral lists this ribosomal RNA (240 nucleotides) under Sphingobacterium sp. RNAcentral's name for it is "partial 16S ribosomal RNA". It matches the Rfam family "Bacterial small subunit ribosomal RNA", at positions 28 to 259 of the family's 1533-position model. Lineage: Bacteria; Pseudomonadati; Bacteroidota; Sphingobacteriia; Sphingobacteriales; Sphingobacteriaceae. The record is from RNAcentral.